CUGUUUAACCAUAGAAGGUCCAGCCUGCCCAGUGACCCUGUUCAACGGCCGCGGUACCCUAACCGUGCAAAGGUAGCGUAAUCACUUGUUUUUUAAAUAAAGACUAGUAUGAAAGGCACCACGAGGGCCAAACUGUCUCCCCCUUCUAAUCAGUGAACCUAACCUCCCCGUGAAAAGGCGGGGAUUUUAUUAUAAGACGAGAAGACCCUGCGGAGCUUAAAACAUUACCACAUAUGCCCCCAUAACAACUAAAUUUUACCCCACACGCACAAUGUCUACAUGUUUUUGGUUGGGGCGACCACGGAGAAAAAUCUAUCCUCCAUAAUGAAAAAACUACUUUAAACAACAAGCCACAACUUUAUGUAUCAACAAAUUGACACCAUUGACCCAAUACAUUGAUCAAUGAAC
RNAcentral lists this ribosomal RNA (408 nucleotides) under Pristimantis sp. 3 AF-2022. RNAcentral describes it as "partial large subunit ribosomal RNA". It matches the Rfam family "Bacterial large subunit ribosomal RNA", at positions 1835 to 2457 of the family's 2925-position model. The record is from RNAcentral. Lineage: Eukaryota; Metazoa; Chordata; Amphibia; Anura; Strabomantidae.